Molecule: small RNA, 123 nt
Filed under: Roseofilum reptotaenium
Lineage: Bacteria; Bacillati; Cyanobacteriota; Cyanophyceae; Desertifilales; Desertifilaceae
Also listed under: 1 other name
Description: Guanidine-I sequence
Rfam family: Guanidine-I riboswitch aptamer
About the family: This family represents a conserved RNA structure found upstream of the ykkC and yxkD genes in Bacillus subtilis and related genes in other bacteria.
Source: RNAcentral
AAUAACCGCUUCUAGGGUUCCGAUUGAGGUUUACCGUACUUCAGUGACUGGUCCAAGAGAAGCAAGCUAAAGUCUGUUAUGGAUCAGACUUUAGUUCCACGGCGGGAUAAAAGCCCGGGAGAU